GUGGAAUUAGGCUCCUAAUGUGGAGCUGAAUGAGUGUAGUCAGGAAUAUAGCUGCAUCACUCUGGAAACAGACGUCAUUACCUCAGAUGAACUUGCAGGGAGUAAUUGAGAUGGAAACGAUGAUCAGAAGGGGAAUGGAAGAUUGUGAUAAGGCAGCCUGUGUUUGUGUAUACAGACUCACCACCUGUGACUUAGGAGAAGGAAAACGCAGAGGCACGUGCAAUCUGAAAUGUGUCUCUCACUCAUCAAUCAGUGUUUAUCAGAAUUGGAG
This 271-nucleotide long non-coding RNA is filed under the name Pan troglodytes (chimpanzee). RNAcentral describes it as "long non-coding RNA NONPTRT002804". Lineage: Eukaryota; Metazoa; Chordata; Mammalia; Primates; Hominidae. The record is from RNAcentral.